Molecule: ribosomal RNA, 253 nt
Filed under: uncultured bacterium
Lineage: Bacteria
Description: partial 16S ribosomal RNA
Rfam family: Bacterial small subunit ribosomal RNA
Source: RNAcentral
UACGUAUGGUGCAAGCGUUAUCCGGAUUUACUGGGCGUAAAGGGAGCGCAGGCGGCGCGCCAAGUCUGAUGUGAAACCCCGGGGCUCAACCCCGGGCAUGCAUUGGAAACUGGCGGGCUGGAGUGCCGGAGAGGUAAGCGGAAUUCCCAGUGUAGCGGUGAAAUGCGUAGAUAUUAGGAGGAACACCAGUGGCGAAGGCGGCUUACUGGACGGCAACUGACGCUGAGGCUCGAAAGCGUGGGGAGCAAACAGG